Molecule: ribosomal RNA, 467 nt
Filed under: uncultured bacterium
Lineage: Bacteria
Description: partial 16S ribosomal RNA
Rfam family: Bacterial small subunit ribosomal RNA
Source: RNAcentral
GACGAACGCUGGCGGCGUGCUUAACACAUGCAAGUCGAACGGAAAGGCCCUGCUUUUGUGGGGUGCUCGAGUGGCGAACGGGUGAGUAACACGUGAGUAACCUGCCCUUGACUUUGGGAUAACUUCAGGAAACUGGGGCUAAUACCGGAUAGGAGCUCCUGCUGCAUGGUGGGGGUUGGAAAGUUUCGGCGGUUGGGGAUGGACUCGCGGCUUAUCAGCUUGUUGGUGGGGUAGUGGCUUACCAAGGCUUUGACGGGUAGCCGGCCUGAGAGGGUGACCGGCCACAUUGGGACUGAGAUACGGCCCAGACUCCUACGGGAGGCAGCAGUGGGGAAUAUUGCACAAUGGGCGGAAGCCUGAUGCAGCAACGCCGCGUGCGGGAUGACGGCCUACGGGUUGUAAACCGCUUUCGCCUGUGACGAAGCGUGAGUGACGGUAAUGGGUAAAGAAGCACCGGCUAACUACGU